GGUCUUCGGAUCGUAAAGCUCUGUUGUUAGGGAAGAACAAAUGUGUAAGUAACUGAGCACAUCUUGACGGUACCUAACCAGAAAGCCACGGCUAACUACGUGCCAGCAGCCGCGGUAAUACGUAGGUGGCAAGCGUUAUCCGGAAUUAUUGGGCGUAAAGCGCGCGUAGGCGGUUUCUUAAGUCUGAUGUGAAAGCACACGGCUCAACCGUGGAGGGUCAUUGGAAACUGGAAAACUUGAGUGCAGAAGAGGAAAGUGGAAUUCCAUGUGUAGCGGUGAAAUGCGCAGAGAUAUGGAGGAACACCAGUGGCGAAGGCGGCUCUCUGGUCUGUAACUGACGCUGAUGUGCGAAAGCGUGGGGAUCAAACAGGAUUAGAUACCCUGGUAGUCCACGCCGUAAACGAUGAGUGCUAAGUGUUAGGGGGUCUCCGCCCCUUAGUGCUGCAGCUAACGCAUUAAGCACUCCGCCUGGGGAGUACGGUCGCAAGACUGAAACUCAAAGGAAUUGACGGGGAGCCGCACAAGCGGUGGAGCAUGUGGUUUAAUUUGAAGCAACGCGAAGAACCUUACCAAAUCUUGACAUCUUUUGACCACUCUAGAGAUAGAGUUUUCCUCUUCGGAGGACAAAAUGACAGGUGGUGCAUGGUUGUCGUCAGCUCGUGUCGUGAGAUGUUGGGUUAAGUCCCGCAACGAGCGCAACCCUUGAGCUUAGUUGCCAUCAUUAAGUUGGGCACUCUAAGUUGACUGCCGGUGACAAACCGGAGGAAGGUGGGGAUGACGUCAAAUCAUCAUGCCCCUUAUGAUUUGGGCUACACACGUGCUACAAUGGACAAUACAAAGGGCAGCAAAACCGCGAGGUCAAGCAAAUCCCAUAAAGUCGUUCUCAGUUCGGAUUGUAGUCUGCAACUCGACUACAUGAAGCUGGAAUCGCUAGUAAUCGUAGAUCAGCAUGCUACGGUGAAUACGUUCCCGGGUCUUGUACACACCGCCCGUCACACCACGAGAGUUUGUAACACCAGAAGCCGUUGGAGUAACCAUUGGAGCUAGCCGUCUCUUA
Molecule: ribosomal RNA, 1057 nt
Filed under: Staphylococcus chromogenes
Lineage: Bacteria; Bacillati; Bacillota; Bacilli; Caryophanales; Staphylococcaceae
Description: bacterial SSU rRNA
Rfam family: Bacterial small subunit ribosomal RNA
Source: RNAcentral